Molecule: small nucleolar RNA, 107 nt
Organism: Ailuropoda melanoleuca (giant panda)
Lineage: Eukaryota; Metazoa; Chordata; Mammalia; Carnivora; Ursidae
Source: Ensembl
ACCUUUUUGUAGUUCGUAAGCAUGGCAAUUGGCUGUUCACGCUGUGUGUUUUUUACCUGUGUCUCCCUCGAACCUUGCUACCACUUCGGCACAUUACCCAUAUGAGG